Molecule: long non-coding RNA, 1779 nt
Organism: Bos taurus (domestic cattle)
Lineage: Eukaryota; Metazoa; Chordata; Mammalia; Artiodactyla; Bovidae
Source: Ensembl
GAAGCAUACAAGCUAUUAUAUAUUUUCAUAAUAUAGAACUUUAAGGUAUAGUAAUCAACAGUGGCAAAAUAUUUCUGUCUUUGACAUUAUUUUUUCGUGAGAUCCAACCUGUAAUUGAGACCAGAGAAAACAGUAUGGAGAAACAAAUCCAGGAGAACAGGAUAAAAAUAUCAUGAACAGCAAAAUAUGUCUGAGUAUUUAAAACCGUAUAGAAAAAAUAAAUUAGAUGAACAAUUGUGUAAAUAUAAAUUAAAAAAAGAUGACAUUCUUAAUAAAUAAAGUUUACUAUUUACAUUUUUAUAUAUUGCUGAAAGACUUAACUUAGAUCCAUAAAAACACAUAAACAGGAAAAAAUAAAACCCAAAAAAGGAGCAGCAAAUUUAUGCGCGUGAGGUACAGAAAAAGGAUUGGAGUUGUGUUUUGUUUUUGGUGAUUAGAUUAUUUUCUUUCUUUUUUUUUUCUUUUCUCUCUUUUUUUUUUUUAUAGUAGGCCAGUAGAAUUUUCUUGAGAACAGAUUUUUAAGCAUGUCAAUGGAGAGUCAUUUUUGGUAAUUUCCAGAAGAUGCCAAACAGAUUUCAACAUCAUCAUCAUUAGAAAUACCCAUAAUAAUUAUAACAAUAAUAAAAAGGUAUAAUAUGAUACAUAAAUAUGGAAGAGCCGCUUGUAAUAUGAAUACAUUUUCUCUAGACGAGAUCACAGUUUUAUUUUGUAAAUAUUACAUUUAAGUAUAUAUAUACACACAUAUAUGUACAACUAUAUAUACAUGUGCAUAUAUAUGUAAAUUUAUAUUUAUAUAUAAUAUCUUUAUAUAGAUAGAUAUCUGUGGACAGGUUAUUGAUUAUAGAGACCCAAGAAAGCAAGUCAAUUAAUUGUUCAAACUUCUCCUCACUGACUGCUGGUGUAGAAUUUAAGAAGCCCCGAGUUUGCACUCAGAAUGCCGUAUCUUCUUUUAAUGGAACACUCAAUGUGGAAUUUUAAGUCUGAGAAGAAAAAGAGAGCUAAGGGACUCCCUUCCUCUGUAAAGUUGGAAGUGGCCUGGAAGUCUUGAAUAAACGGUAAACUGACUUUUACACUGUAGGAAGUCACUGUUUGUUUUGUUAAUCAAAUUAUAGAACUGGUAAAGGCCCGAAUAAGGGGGAGAAAGUCCAACUUAUCUAUAAGGAAAAUAUUCUCAAAUGCAAGCCUCUCUCAAGGUGGGUUCUAAUCUAGGAGCUCACUCCCAUUCCUUGAAAUACCAAAUGAGCACUCCCUGUCUUUCUUACGUGGCCAAUGGGCCUGUGCAUUCUUGAAAAAUAACCCAUAGACUUUGCGUCAGGCUCUCACAGAUUGGCUCUCGUAGAUUGCCACAGCCCCUUAGAAGCCCCAGGGCCUCACAAUCCCCUGCCCUCCCACUGUGAGGUAGGUUAAGUAGUAUUAUCCCCAUUUUGCAGCUGGAGAAACUGAGGCAAAUGGAGAGGCAAUAUCAUGACUUGUUUAAGAUCACUGAGCAAACUGCUGCCUGGAGUCAAGAAUUCGGUGUUCCCACUCAAGGGACAUAAUUCCUCUCUUGGCUAUUACACAUUGCUCUUCAAGAUCGAGCAAUUGGGAGGAAUUUGGCAAAACGUGAGCAGAUUGCCAGGAACAGGCUUGGAUUCUUCUGCUGUUCAGUUUCAUGUCUGCUGUUUGGUUUGUUCUGUUUCCCGAAAACCGUGGGCAUUACCUGUCCGGUCAUGUAGCAGCUCCUUAGGAAAGUGGGCUGUGCAGUGUGAUUCUAAGUGCAGCUUCAUAAAGCCCAGUGCU